GGAGAGGUGGCAGAGUGGUUUAUUGCACCGGUCUUGAAAACCGGAGCGCCCUUACGGGCGCCGUGGGUUCGAAUCCCUCCCUCUCCGCCA
This 90-nucleotide transfer RNA is filed under the name Verrucomicrobiota bacterium. Its description in RNAcentral is "Verrucomicrobia bacterium tRNA-Ser". It matches the Rfam family "tRNA". From Rfam's summary of the family: Transfer RNA (tRNA) molecules are approximately 80 nucleotides in length. Lineage: Bacteria; Pseudomonadati; Verrucomicrobiota. The record is from RNAcentral.